UGCAUGGUGUCACUUAAAAUAAUUCUUCAGAAAUAUUUAUGAACGAAUCAUGGGCAAAUCAGUUCCAUUUCAUGAGGUGAUAUAAUCAACACAUAGAAGUGUUUGCACCCAUAGGACAAAAUACCUUUGUUUCUGGUUAAAAUAAUCAAACCCAUCAGAAAUGAUUGUCUAUUCUAGGAUGAUCCACACCAUGGUAAGUGAAGUUAAAACAGUAUUCCCCAGGAGAAAAAUCAAAAAAUAAAUAAAUAAUGAAGGCAUGGUAUAUAGAAAGAAUCUGUCACACAUACAAAGAUAGACAAGUCUUCAGAGGACUUUUCUACACAUAUUCAUGAGUGAGAACACACAUCCAACCAAAAAUACGUUGAUUUCACUUCCACAAUCAGCAGUGUGGAGACUAAAGAUAGUACAAUUAAAAUUACAUUCUUAACCCAAAAGUCCAAAAACAAAGAAUAGAUAGUUUACAGAAAAGAGUUUGUAAAGCACAGAAUGACAGGUCUACAGAAGGUAUUCACAAGUGAGAAAACACAUCUAACCAAAAUUCUAGGGAUUUCACCAUCACAAACACCACUUUGGAGCCUGGAAAUGCUGCACAGCCUCCUGUGAGCAGGACACUCACCGGGUCCCUGAACAGUGUGAUGGCCCCAAACACAAACCUCAAAGUAAGUUCAGCCUCUCAGUGUGGCAGGAGCAGGUGCGGUGCCAGGGGAUGUGUCUCCAGCAGUUGGAGUCAGGUGGGCUCAGGGAGAUGACUGGAAAGCCUUUGAGGAAGGAAGAGGCCAUGAGGCCUUAGUCAUAGGCACAGGCUCCUCUUCUGUGUGAACAGGGCCAGGGUCCUCCAGGACACCUUCCAAAGCCUCCUCUUUCCUCCACAUGUAGGGCGCUGAAGCCCCACCAACCCUCCAGGGUUUGCUGCCACAUCAUCCCUGGAGCAGCCCCUAAGGUUCCCUGCUGUUCUCAUGGCUGUAGGGAUGCUCAGUCAUGUCACUGUAAGGGAACCCUAGUGUGUCCUGUCCUCACCUGCUGCCACUGAUGACCUUCAUAGCGAGUCUCCAUGCCUUUGCCAAGUGACCCCACUCUCACCAACCAUCAGGAGGCUGGAAAAUGGCCUGCACUCCAUGAUGUUCGGCUUAUGAGUAAGUCAGGGCUCAGGGCAGUCUCAUGUUUGUGCAGCUCAUAAUAAUAUCACACAGGAAUCCUAUUUUGACUUUCCCUGACUCCUCAUUCUCUCUGAGCAGUAACUCACUCUGCUCGUCCACUCUAAGACUUUCUUCUUGUGCAGCUGCUAAUGGUGUUUUCAUUUGGAGACUGAUAUGACUGUAUUGGUGGAAUACUAGAUGUGUGCUUGUCACAUCCUCACAUUUCUAAGAAUAAAAGACCCUUCUUUUGAGUGGCAUUUAUUCUUUUUUUCCUAGUUUGUCAGGAUUACAUUUCCAGUGAUUGAUGUGAAAACUUCUUUGCUAAAACACAUUCAUAAUGCUAUAAAUUAACUGCAUUUUUUUGAAUCUCAUAAAUUUGGAUAUGUGAUGUUUACUUUCAGAUCCAAGUACUUUUUAAUUUCCCUUUUUGUUGCUUCUUUGCCCCAAACUACAUAUAGUGGUACUUUACAUAUUUUCCAAAUAUUUAGAUUCUUUUUGGCAAAUUUUUAAAAAAUUAAAUUUAGAAUUUCAGUGGCUUUAUUGGUAAGAGUUGUUUUUGGUUACACUGAUGAAUUGUAUAGUAGUGAACUCUGGGCUUUAGCUACCCAUCACCCGAACAGUGUACCUUGUGCCCAAUAGGUAAUUUUUCAUUCCUCCUCCUUCUCCCACCAACCCCAUUCUGAUAACUUUCUGUUUCUGAUUUCUAAUACAAUCCCCUCAGUUAUGAAUAAUUUAUUUUUUUGAUUUAAUCAGCUUGGUUUUUUUGAAAUAUCUUGUUGCCCAAAAUAUAGUGUAUCAUUAGCCAAUGUUUUGAAAGACCAUGGAAUCUGCUGUGGUUUGGUGGAGUGUUCUCUAAGUAUCAGCCUUGUCCAGAUGGUUGAUAGCAUUGUUGAAGUCGUUUGCAUCCGCAGUGGCCCAAGAGGCUGGGCCGUUUGCACUUCAACCUGGAUCUGCUGCAGAGCCCUUUUCUAUCCUGAGUCCCACUCACGACUGGCUGACUUUCAUGUCACCUGCUGGGCCAAACCUGUAUUCCAAGGGGUAGAAUAUGUAGCCUCCAGAAACCAAAGAAGUCCUAUUUGUGGCUUCCUUCUUUGAAAGACAAAGACACAUAUUAACAACACUGGAAUAAAAUAAAUAUUCCUGUAAUCCUGAACUCUGAUUCACUCCGUCUUUAUGUUACACACAUUACAAAGGCCUUAUUAAUGGGGACACCAUUUAGUGGCAUUUGAUGGCAGCAGUAGAGACGAAUGCCCAGAUUCAAGGUGCAGGGCAAUACCAGCCAGGGGAAAUCAGCCUCUCAACCACAGCCACAAUAUGACUAGGCAGCCACAAAGAGUUCCCAAGUAAUUUUCUGAUCAUUGACCCGGUCGUGGUGCAGUAUCUGGACUUGCUCUCUAAUGAGGAAAAUUUAAUGUUGUGAUGUCCUUGAUUCUACUGCACCAACAUUCAUCUGGUCUGUUUGUCUGUCAGCCACUCACAAGGACACUCAAGUCAAAUUCUCUAAAUAUAUAAUUGUCUUCCUUCAAAUUCUAGAGAAAAGGUUGAUUUUAGAUUUGCCUAGCAAAUUAAAUAUUUUAAUGCUAUUAAUAGGAUCAUUUAAAUGGUAUCCUUCUCUUAGUCUCUCUGCAAAGGUUAACCUGGGGCAAAUUUCAUAAUAGGUUUUUCUUUAUUUUCAUUUUCCUCUAUAAUUUCUGAGUAAGAUGACCUACUCUGAGAAAACCUAUGAAGUUAGUUUUAACCCAAAACAAAAUCAUUAUUUUGAAAUUUAAUACCAUCACAAGCCAGAGACAAAAGAUAUUACUCUUGCUUUAUGGCUUAUUAGGACUAUUAAUGACUAGUAAGUAUUUGCUUUAAUCUUCCAUAAGUCAAUAGGUUUCUUCCUUUUAUUUUGCCUUAUACAAAUAAUUGUAUAAUAGUUUUCCUGUUAUAACAGAUUUGUGUACCUUCUUAUUUUCAGUAUUAAUUUUUGCCUAGGACUGCUAGGAUUCCAGAAUACAAAAGAAACCAUUUUCUAGGUUGAGGAUGUUUCUAAUUUACUAAGGUAAGACUAUUUACUAUGAGUAAGAUCCAGCUAAAUCAGUAGCUAGCAGGAAAUUAUGCCUCUAGUCCUCUGUUAAACAUGAUAGUUUUAUUCUUGACUGCUCCUGGGAAGUCAGAAUUUAUUUCAUUUUAUUACUGAUGCUUCAUUUUUUUUUUUUUUUGCUGGUAGAUAUUUUAGAAGAGUUAAUAUCUAGAAGUAUUCCAACAUAAGGGCAACUGGCUCUUCACAGAGCAUUUACACUUGGGUGAUCCUUAGCUCCUGCCCAAGAAUCACCAAGUUAUAAUGAAGUUCACUGCUGUGAUGUGAAGCUGCUGCUUCCAGAAGGGCAGAGUCACUAUUUCCAGUUGUCAAUGCAGAGGCUGUAUUAUUAUUAUUAAUUAUUAAUAGUAUUAUUAUAAGACAAGAAAUGAGCACUAAAUGCUUUAUUCAGCUCUUGUCUGUUUCCUUUUCUGUACUUUUGAUUUUUGCUAACAGGAGGUGAAAAGAAGCAGUUAAAGGAAAAAUUCAGCUGUCUUUAGAACUCAGUUUGAUUGAUUUGAACCAUAAUUUUUCUCUAGAGUCUUAAACAUUAUAAAUUAUAAUUUAUAUAAACAUUUGCUUGAUUCUUAAAAUUGUUUAACAUGAAAAAAACGAUGUGAGAACUCACAAAUUCUAUUUUCAUUUUUUCUACAGGUAAACUAUCUUAUCUAAGUUACAAGUAAAUAAGUUAUUGCACUUUGUUUUCUUGUUAUAUUCAUUGAAGUUCUUAUCUAAGUUACAAGAAAUAAGUUAUUCCACUUUAUUUUCUUGUUAUAUUCAUAGAAGUUCUUAUAUCAACUGCAGCUUCUACUACAGUUUAAAUGGCUAGAAUCCCCAAUUUAGUCUCUAAAAACUUCUUGGGAUCUUCAUUUCCCAUCUCUCAAGUAAACCAGGUUUUACUAUAAGGCCUCAAGGCUAACUUCACAUUCAAAGAGUAGAAAAAUUAUACUAACUUCUCAGGCAAGCUAUGGUUUUAUAGAGUUUUACUUUUGAGGACGGAGACCCCUUUCUUCAAGGAUGUGAAUUCGAGGGGAACUUAUGAGACACAGAAUGCUCAGGAAGAAAACAGACUCAUAACUUCACUUUGUGCAGUUGGUGGGUGUGGUGGAUUCUCCAGAGAUAUUAACAAGCACAGAGGAGAAGCCCACCACUUAAUCCCACAGCUGUGUGGAUAGUUUCAUAGGAUUUCUGAAAACCUUUUCCAAGAAAAAGUAGAGACCAGAAUUGAAACAUUUGGAAACAGGUUCAGAUGAGACAGAUCUAGAACAGGGUCCGAAGAUUCAGAAAAGUCUGAUAUGGAAACAAUGCUGUUUCUUUCAAUGUUUGGAGAGAGAGAUUCUCAGAAGCAGAAGACACACAUUCAAGGAGCCUACAUUCCCUGUGCUCUCUCCCUGUGUUCCAGAAUAUUUAUCCAUGAAUCUCUGUUCCAGCGAGGGACAAUUUCAGUUAGUGAGACAACGCAGACGGCUUCAUUCCCAGGUGCCUGGGAGCCAGGAAUCCAUUCACAGGACCUGUAGCUUCACAGAUGGAAGCUCCAUUUAAAUGUGACUGUCCUUGUGAAACUAUUUAUUGUUGGCACCAUUAUUCAGGAGCUGUUCAAUGGAAUGUUAAGCACAUCGAUGACAAAUAAAGAACAGUGUGGUUGUUU
This is a long non-coding RNA of Homo sapiens (human), 4843 nucleotides long. RefSeq lists it as uncharacterized. The transcript is spliced from 2 exons. The record is from RefSeq and is a predicted model, not a curated record. NCBI's taxonomy places the organism in Eukaryota, Metazoa, Chordata, Mammalia, Primates, Hominidae.